This is a long non-coding RNA of Triticum aestivum (bread wheat), 482 nucleotides long. RefSeq lists it as uncharacterized. NCBI's taxonomy places the organism in Eukaryota, Viridiplantae, Streptophyta, Magnoliopsida, Poales, Poaceae. The record is from RefSeq and is a predicted model, not a curated record. The transcript is spliced from 4 exons.
ACUGAGGUUGAAAAGCUCAUAAAUGCUAAUUCAACUGAGGUUGAUUGGGAACGUUCCUUCUAUUUGAAUUUAGUCGCUCACACGUCAUAUACUGUCACAGUGGCAUUGUGCAGUAUCAGCAAUCUUCGCAAUCGUGCAGACAAAAGCAAGCGGUUGCCUCCAAUUUACAAGGUUUCAAAAACUGUAUAUGCAUCCCCUAGCCGUGUAAAUUUCCGCCUUGAUCAAAGAAAGGCUGUAGAGACAGUACCUGCAUAUCCGAACAUUUAUUUCUCAGUUGAUGACUUCGAUGAUCCUUUUGAUGCUGUGGUUUUGUCAGACCCAGAACACUGCUAUUGUGUGAUUCUCAAUGCGCAUGAUGGGGCGGCAUUUCCUGAAGAAAGCGAAUCAAGCAAUGUCGGUUCAAAUAUACAAUCUGGGAUCAACUCUGGGAGCAGUGGAGAGAACCCACCAAAGGUUCACUCUCUUCCUAAAUGAAGGUUUCA